AGGUCUGGGCAGCGUCUUCCUGAACAGCCUGAAGCAGAAGGUGGUGACCCUGGCAAGCAGCGCAGACGUGCUGAGCACCGUGCAGUCGGCCUCCCAGGCCAUGCUGCAGAGCGGCUGGUCCAUGCUGUUGCCCACCGCUGAGAAGCAGGCCCGGGCACUCUGCUCUCCUGUCCUGUGGAGUUUCAGGCAAUGAAGUGAACAUAAGUCCAGGUCAUCGAUUGGUGAUUGAUCUUCUGGUGGGCAGCUUGAUGGCUGAUGGAGGGUUGGAGUCAGCCUUACACGCAGCCAUUACUGCAGAGAUCCAGGAUACAAAAAAAGAAGCACGGAAGGAAAAAGAAAUUUAUGAACAGGAGGCAAAUGCCUCAACAUUUCAUAGAAGGAGGACUCCAUUGGAUAAAGACCUUAUUAAUACGGGGAUCUGUGAGUCUUCUGGCAAACAGUGUUUGCCUCUGGUUCAGCUCAUACAACAGCUUCUUAGGUAAAUCAUAUUAGCUGUAUUGUAUUGUGUUUUAUUUAUUUACUUUUUUUUUUUUGAGACAGAGUUUCGCUCUUGUUGCCCAGGCCGGAGUGCAGUGGUGCGAUCUUGACUCACUGCAACCUCCGCCUCCCAGGUUCAAGUAAUUCCUCUGCCUCAGCCUCUCGAGCAGCUGGGAUUACAGGCAUGCGCCACCAUGCCCCACUAAUUUUGUAGUUUUAUUAGAGACAGGGUUUCUUCAUGUUGGUCAGGCCGGUCUUGAACUCCCGACCUCAGGUGGUCCAUCCACUUUGGCCUCCCAAAAUGUUGGGAUUACAGGCAUUAGCCACCACGCCUGGCCUAUUUAUUUACUUAUUAAUGGUGUUUUUUGUUUUUUGUUUUUUUUUUGAGAUGGAGUCUUGCUCUAUCGUCCAGGCUGGAGUGCAGUGUCACGAUCUUGGCUCACUGCAACCCCCGCCUCCUGGGUUCAAGCUAUUCUCCUGCCUCAGCCUCCCGAGUAGCUGGGACUACAGGCGUCUGCAACCACACCUGGCUGAUUUGUGUAUUUUUAGUAGAGAUGGGGUUUUACCAUAUUGGUCAGGCUGGUCUCAAAUUCCUGACGUCAGGUGACCCACCUGCCUUGGCCUCUCAAAAUGUUGGGAUUACAGGUGUUAGCCACUGUUCCCGGCCUGUAUUGUAUUUUAAUAGGUGAUUAUUGGUUUUCAUAUUAAGAUAGUGAAAUCUAGCGCAAGGGUCUCAAAAAUUUGUUUGAUGAUUGAAGGAAUAUUCUGAAAAUUACCUAGUAUAGAUGUUAGGAUAAAGAGCAGACCCUUCUCAAUAUAGGUGAGAGGAGAAGUUGGAGGGUGUGAUGAUACUCAGAAGUUUUUCACAGAAGAGAAAUUGGGGCGUGCGGUAAACAUGUAAAAAGAUUCUUACUAAUAAGCAGGUAGGUGCGAAUGAAAAUCAUCAUGGAAGGUUAUUUUUAAAACUGGUUCUAUCAUUGCCUCACUUUACAUAUUACAGAGUUGUACCUACUACUUUGUAAGAUAACUUUUCUUUUCAAAACUGAAGUCAAUGUGAUAGAAUGGUGAGCAUUAUUUUGGAAGGCCAGACUAGGAGGAGGUGGGAGGAGGAAGUCAGACUCAGCCUGUGAACAGACGCUAACCUUGGCAGAAGCCAAAACAGUCAGACAGUGUUGUGUAAAAAUGAUCAUUCAAGAAGAGCGAAACAGCAAGGUGAUUUGUGAAAGAGAUUUAUUAGAAAAUGAAACACAUUUAUACCUCUGUUCAAUAAAAAUCUGCUUUUCGUCAA
This is an RNA transcript of Homo sapiens (human), 1765 nucleotides long. It is a transcript of the gene named HERC2 pseudogene 7, with no coding region annotated. The record is from RefSeq and is marked validated. NCBI's taxonomy places the organism in Eukaryota, Metazoa, Chordata, Mammalia, Primates, Hominidae.